RNAcentral lists this ribosomal RNA (581 nucleotides) under Salmonella enterica. RNAcentral's name for it is "partial 23S ribosomal RNA". It matches the Rfam family "Bacterial large subunit ribosomal RNA", at positions 608 to 1190 of the family's 2925-position model. The record is from RNAcentral. RNAcentral also lists the same sequence under 2 other names. Lineage: Bacteria; Pseudomonadati; Pseudomonadota; Gammaproteobacteria; Enterobacterales; Enterobacteriaceae.
UUGUAUAAUGGGUCAGCGACUUAUAUUCUGUAGCAAGGUUAACCGAAUAGGGGAGCCGGAGGGAAACCGAGUCUUAAUUGGGCGUUAAGUUGCAGGGUAUAGACCCGAAACCCGGUGAUCUAGCCAUGGGCAGGUUGAAGGUUGGGUAACACUAACUGGAGGACCGAACCGACUAAUGUUGAAAAAUUAGCGGAUGACCUGUGGCUGGGGGUGAAAGGCCAAUCAAACCGGGAGAUAGCUGGUUCUCCCCGAAAGCUAUUUAGGUAGCGCCUCGUGAAUUCAUCUCCGGGGGUAGAGCACUGUUUCGGCUAGGGGGCCAUCCCGGCUUACCAACCCGAUGCAAACUGCGAAUACCGGAGAAUGUUAUCACGGGAGACACACGGCGGGUGCUAACGUCCGUCGUGAAGAGGGAAACAACCCAGACCGCCAGCUAAGGUCCCAAAGUCAUGGUUAAGUGGGAAACGAUGUGGGAAGGCCCAGACAGCCAGGAUGUUGGCUUAGAAGCAGCCAUCAUUUAAAGAAAGCGUAAUAGCUCACUGGUCGAGUCGGCCUGCGCGGAAGAUGUAACGGGGCUAAACCAU